GUCUCUUGGGAGUUGGACAUGCCUGUUUUAUAGCGUCUCAUGUGCUCUCUGCAGAGAUUGAGGAGGUGUCAGUUUCAAAAUGAGAGAAUGCUACAGUUCUACCAUCCUGUGAAGGGGUCAUUCUUGCUUGGAGCGCUUGUGAAACCUUCAGAAUUGAUCUUUAUGCCUGAGGCAGUACUUAGAGGCAGGGAGUUCCAAUCCUCUUUGGAGAUUUGGAUCAUGUGGUUCCAGAGGGAAGGCUGUAGCUGCUAUGAAGUAGCUAUAAAAAGGAUGCACUAGAGGGAUUUGCUUUUAGCAAAGAGUGAGGACUUCAUUGCCAUUUCCCCCCAAGACCCCUUGCACCUUAGGAAGAGUCACACUGAUUUAACCUUGUGAGGAUCAAGAAUUGUAGUGAAACUGGGAUAUAGAGUUCCUAGCUAAACACUGACCUUUGCCUAACCAAAGUCAUGAAGACCUGUUACCAAUUCCUUCUGGCCAUUGCCUUAAUCCUUUCAGCUGAUCCAGUCUUUGCUCAGAUAAUAAGCGAGGAAGAAUGCAAUUCCUUUGGUGGCGUCUGCAAAGACAGCUGUGAGUUUGGUUAUCAUGACUUUGGAGAAUGCAGUACGACACGUUGCUGCGUAAGAUUUCAAUUUGGAUGAUGGGAUCCAUCUCUGCUGCCACUUGGCUUGAAGAUUCAUCAGCUCCUACCUGAACACCAGCGUUAUCCAGGAAUCGUUUUCCCACCACCACCACCAGCAGCUGAAGGACCAUAAAAGCAUGUUUGGUGUAAAACCUUCAAAGACCAUGUGUUAAUAAAAAAUAAAAGCUAUAGUGCAG
Zootoca vivipara (common lizard) is the source of this 816-nucleotide long non-coding RNA. RefSeq lists it as uncharacterized. The record is from RefSeq and is a predicted model, not a curated record. NCBI's taxonomy places the organism in Eukaryota, Metazoa, Chordata, Lepidosauria, Squamata, Lacertidae.